CCUACGGGAGGCAGCAGUAGGGAAUAUUGCACAAUGGACGAAAGUCUGAUGCAGCAACGCCGCGUGUGCGAUGAAGGCCUUCGGGUUGUAAAGCACUUUUCUGAGGGAAGAGGAAGGACGGUACCUCAGGAAUAAGUCUCGGCUAACUACGUGCCAGCAGCCGCGGUAACACGUAGGAGGCAAGCGUUAUCCGGAUUUACUGGGCGUAAAGCGCGUGCAGGCGGUGCGGUAAGUUGGAUGUGAAAGCUCCCGGCUCAACUGGGAGAGGCCGUUCAAUACUGCUGGACUAGAGGACGGUAGAGGGAGGUGGAAUUCCAGGUGUAGUGGUGAAAUGCGUAGAUAUCUGGAGGAACACCAGUGGCGAAAGCGGCCUCCUAGGCCGUUCCUGACGCUAAGACGCGAAAGCAUGGGUAGCAAACGGGAUUAGAAACCCCGGUAGUCCAUGCUGUAAACGAUGCGAACUUGGUGUUGGUGGUGUAAGAGCCAUCAGUACCGAAGCUAACGCGAUAAGUUCGCCGCCUGGGGAUUACGACCGCAAGGUUAAAACUCAAAGGAAUUGACGG
Molecule: ribosomal RNA, 563 nt
Filed under: uncultured bacterium
Lineage: Bacteria
Description: bacterial SSU rRNA
Rfam family: Bacterial small subunit ribosomal RNA
Source: RNAcentral